Molecule: long non-coding RNA, 479 nt
Organism: Homo sapiens (human)
Lineage: Eukaryota; Metazoa; Chordata; Mammalia; Primates; Hominidae
Exons: 4
Source: RefSeq, a predicted model, not a curated record
CACAGCUAGGGGAGCCAUUGCUCUGCCCACUGAAUGGAAGGGGAAACUGAAGUGCAGCCUCCUGAACUGAUUCUCCAAAGAUUACAUAACUGAUCAGUGGGAGAAUGGAACCACCCCUCCUCAGUAUAAGAAGCAUGCUGUGAUAUUGAGUCAAUUGGUUGCCCAAUCACAGACAUCUUUCACUGACAGAGUAACAGCAAUGCUCAUUUUCAAAUCAUAUGAGAAGGCCUUGCUAACUGAUGGUCGAUGCUCACAGGUGUGUGGGCUUUGAGCAGUCGCUACACCUUCCCUCUUCAGGCAUGAUGAGAGGAUUCCUGCAGCGUUUUGCAAGAGAGAUGAAGUUUCAUCAUGUUGUCCAGGCUGAUAUCCAACUCCUAGGCUCAAGUGAUCCUCCUACCUUGGCCUCUCAAAGUGCUGGGACUACAGACAUAAGACACUGCACCUGACCUCUGAUUCAUUUUAACUCAUAAAACUUUGAA